UGGGGAAUAUUGCACAAUGGGCGAAAGCCUGAUGCAGCGACGCCGCGUGAGGGAUGACGGCCUUCGGGUUGUAAACCUCUUUCAGUAGGGACGAAGCGCAAGUGACGGUACCUGCAGAAGAAGCACCGGCUAACUACGUGCCAGCAGCCGCGGUAAUACGUAGGGUGCGAGCGUUGUCCGGAAUUACUGGGCGUAAAGAGCUCGUAGGCGGUUUGUCACGUCUUCUGUGAAAUCCUAGGGCUUAACCCUGGACGUGCAGGCGAUACGGGCUGACUUGAGUACUACAGGGGAGACUGGAAUUUCUGGUGUAGCGGUGGAAUGCACAGAUAUCAGGAAGAACACCGAUGGCGAAGGCAGGUCUCUGGGUAGUAACUGACGCUGAGGAGCGAAAGCAUGGGUAGCGAACAGG
Molecule: ribosomal RNA, 409 nt
Filed under: bacterium
Lineage: Bacteria
Description: partial 16S ribosomal RNA
Rfam family: Bacterial small subunit ribosomal RNA
Source: RNAcentral